This 226-nucleotide ribosomal RNA is filed under the name uncultured bacterium. RNAcentral's name for it is "partial 16S ribosomal RNA". It matches the Rfam family "Bacterial small subunit ribosomal RNA", at positions 109 to 334 of the family's 1533-position model. The record is from RNAcentral.
CGGAACACGUACACAACCUUCCUUUAAGUGGGGGAUAGCCCAGAGAAAUUUGGAUUAAUACCCCGUAAUAUUAUUGAGUGGCAUCAUUUAGUAAUUAAAGCUCCGGCGCUUGAAGAUGGGUGUGCGUCUGAUUAGGUAGUUGGUGUAGGUCACGGCUCACCAAGCCAACGAUCAGUAACUGGUGUGAGAGCACGACCAGUCACACGGGCACUGAGACACGGGCCCG